This 73-nucleotide transfer RNA is filed under the name Olavius algarvensis spirochete endosymbiont. It matches the Rfam family "tRNA". Rfam says of the family: Transfer RNA (tRNA) molecules are approximately 80 nucleotides in length. Their secondary structure includes four short double-helical elements and three loops (D, anti-codon, and T loops). Further hydrogen bonds mediate the characteristic L-shaped molecular structure. tRNAs have two regions of fundamental functional importance: the anti-codon, which is responsible for specific mRNA codon recognition, and the 3' end, to which the tRNAs corresponding amino acid is attached (by aminoacyl-tRNA synthetases). tRNAs cope with the degeneracy of the genetic code in two manners: having more than one tRNA (with a specific anti-codon) for a particular amino acid; and 'wobble' base-pairing, i.e. permitting non-standard base-pairing at the 3rd anti-codon position. Lineage: Bacteria; Pseudomonadati; Spirochaetota; Spirochaetia; Spirochaetales. The record is from Rfam by way of RNAcentral.
GCCAAAGUAGCUCAGCUGGUAGAGCAACGCACUCGUAAUGCGUAGGUCUGGAGUUCGAGUCUCCACUUUGGCU